ACUGAAUCGGGACUCUCCGCAAAGCCGAAUACUUAUAUGAUAGUUUGACCACUCAAGUCGCUUUUGCCGGAGCAGAUAUGGUUAAUAGAAAUGACACCUUCAAGAAGGCUUUUCCCCUGUGUCCUCGUUUUCCCGCUUUUGACAUGUUUGAGUCACGUGUCCUGGCAGAUAUGAGUCAGUCACUCCGAGCUGUAAGUCCUUCUCGCCAGGAAGGACCCUGCACCGAAAAUAUGUUACCACUAUCACCAUCCUUACCGACAGCGAAGUUUGCGAACUCACUCCAACUGCAUGAAAACACACUCGACUUCAAGAGGACUAACGACAACACUGGGCACGUGCAUUUCUCGCCAACCUACAUGAAAAGAUUGUUUGAUCCCCUUCCCAUGGCAACACAGCUGGUAAACGUGAGCAGCCAAAGGCCUUCUGGAACCAUUGACCAGCGAUAUUUCCACAAACUCAACCCACCCCGAUGGCCCCUCCCCCAACGCCACCGUCCUGCUCGACACACUUGAUUUGCAGAGGGCGCCAGCGACCACACAUAAUGUCGACAGCGUUUUUCAUAUUCAAACAAACUUUUCCAUCAUUACACACCCCACUGCACCCUCUCUGACUUCGAGAGUGAAAGGUACGAGGUAGUGAACACGUGUCCAGUCAGAGAUGGCGGGAACGUGGACCUUUCUAGUACCCAUGCACUUGCACACUGUAACCAGAUUGGAGUUCUCCAUUCCCAAGACAGAGGAAUGUUAACUUUUAAAGACUGCAUACCAACUGUAGUUCUUAUAAUUUUGCUACAUCUUCGAAAGGAAAAGUCGAUGAAAUAUUGGCUGAAGUAUAACUUUUCAUCUCCAGCUAGAAGAUCAACUUUAGACGAAUGUUUCAAGUGUCUUCAGUCUGAUUUAAUGGAAAGUAAACAGAGAAAUCAGUUUCUUGGGAAUAACUAUGUAAAAUCUUUUGUUUCAAGGUUUUUUCAGAAAAGUCUCAAAUUUAUUGACUAUGAAAAUGCAGUUCCGUUAUCUCUUUUUAAUAAAUAUAAGAAUGUUUCUUGUGUAAAAAGUAUUUCCGACCCCAUAAACAAGAUUCCAGUCAGCAAAGAAUUAAGUCGGUUUUGGAGGCUAGAUUUUAGCCAAUACUCGCAGCCCAACCAUGUUUACACUGUCUUUCCGGCAACGGUCAACAGUUCUCUGACUUCUGAACUGGGCCGCCUUGCUUCUCUUGCUUCACUUCCUUCGUCUUGUACUGCGUUCCGCAUCCCUCUGGCUAAGGCAGGAUUCUACUAUGACGUCAACAACACCAGCAGAAACCCCGACAACCUGCACGAACUGGUCUGUUUCUCAUGCCGUGUUACCUGCAGCAGGUGGGACACAGGUGAGAGUCCUGCAGAGAUCCACCGACGGUUGUCCCAGAGUGCCCACAUGUGAAGACUCUUUUUCCAGAUUCUUCUGGAACAUUCUCAUCUAUGUCAUCUGGAAUAGGAAGCUCCAUUUCAUCCUCGUAUACUUCUGAUGUCGCUUCUGCACGAAGUAGCAGCUUGCUGUCGUCAGUCUCUUCAACAUCCGGGUCCUUUCAGGAAACAAGCCUCCCUUUGUCGCUACCUACUGGGCGGACCUCUGACAACCACAGCAGUUUUAGCGACCUGGCUACAGACUGUGCGGCCAUUGCCCCAACUUCGCGCCCACAAGUCACCAUCGGGACCUAUCCCAGCAACGUGACAGCAGGAGGUCGAAGGUUAGAAGGACAGCGACACGUAGGCGAUUAUCUGGAUUACAGGCCAGUCUUGUCCAUGGACAUCGCCGUCUACCCGCAAUUCUCUACUUGCCAGUCUCGGCUAACCACCUACCGGAACUGGCCGCUAACGCACUUCUUUGACCCACAGACGCUGGUCACGCUGGGAUUCUUCUAUGCAGGUCAGUGACAUCACCUGGUGAUGAACACACGCUCAUCCAGGCACCUGAGCUUUUCCAUCACGCGGGAAAGAAGAUGGUAGUGAUGGAUUUCUCCUGACGUCUCUUCAACACGCGCCUGCAUCAGACCUAUGUUCACAUCAGCUUUAAAUUUACUCCAGGGUGAUAAAAUGGGUCAACGGCCUUUGACAGAAAAAUAACAUACAUUGUUGUCACAAAGCCAGCUAGUGUUUUAAAUAUUGUACUUCAGUCUGAUGGUAUAAUCCAGCGAAUGUGGUGAACUCCCGGGGCAGUUGUGAUAAUGCAAACUCAGCUGCUGUUUGAAUAGAAAUCUCUCCAGCCCCCACUUUCACCACACUUACAAAAUUAACUUCCUUAAAAUUUGACCUAGUUAUGGGUAACAUAUUGACUUUAAAACGCACAAUAUGCCUUUCGCUCUGCAUUUGUGUUGGACGGAUGAGGGUGAGGUAACGAGUUGGGAUUGUUAAUUCAAAACCUUCACUUAAAUAGAACAGAAAAAACCACAAAACUGAAAGAGAGGGAAAAAAGUAAAGAAAAAGAACAAAACUGGAAAAAAAGAGAAAACAAAAAAUUAUGAAAAAAAAGAA
Molecule: long non-coding RNA, 2509 nt
Organism: Pomacea canaliculata
Lineage: Eukaryota; Metazoa; Mollusca; Gastropoda; Architaenioglossa; Ampullariidae
Exons: 3
Source: RefSeq, a predicted model, not a curated record